UUAUUUAUCCUUCAAAAUUGUUUAAGAGACAUUUCUCGCCACAAACCGGCGUCAUUGCGUUAAAUCAAAAUAAACGCACAUAAAAUAAAGUUCUCCAAAUUAUCAACAUUAAUUUGUAAUUAAUUAGUUCUAUUAAUAUUAUUUAUGUUUAUAUUGAAAAAUAAACAUAAUCAAAUAGUUUUUUCUGAAUUUAAGGAAAUUAGGGUUAUCUUUGACGUUUGUCUUGCUGUCAACAAUCAUAAUGAAAUAUCAUUAUGAUUUGGUAUAUGAAAUAUGUAUGGAAUUUUCAUUUAAGAAAAGGAAUUUGAAUUUUGCUGAAUACUGUUGCUUAUGAUACUUAUAAAUUAAUUGAAUAUUGAAUUAUGAAGCAGUGUUACAGGGGAAAAUGUGACAUUUUGGAAAGUUGAAGUGUACUGAAAAUGACUGAAAAUUUAGGAAAAGUGGGAUCAUUUAUUAAAUGUAGUACCAUUAUAUGAUUAAAUUGGUUUGACUUUUGUUUAUUAAGUGAUUGUUAACUAUUUUGUUAUAUAUAUAUAGGCGUACAAGUUUAAGUUCACUAUUAAUGGCCUUAUUCACAUCUGCUCCAGUGGCGCAAUUGGUUAGCGCACGGGCGAGUCGAUUGAAUUCUAGUAUUGUAGAACGGCUUGAGAGUUAGUGAAAUACCCUCUAAUUUGGCACUUCACUUCUGAAUAAUGAUAAAAUUAAGCCAUUGAAUUUUCAAGAAAUUACGCUAGAAGCUUUAAAAAAUACGAAACUCAAAUUAAUUCUUUAACCCGGGAAGAUUAGUUGCUUCGAAUAGAAAUAUGUAAAGUGUCAAAAAGGACAAUGAAACACGUGCAUUUUCUACAAGAGGUGUUAAUUUUAUUUGGUUUGGGUGUAUACAUAAGGAAUACAAUGUCACAGUAAAUCUUAUGAAUAACAAUUUGUAUUUUAUUAAGGAUGAUCGGAGGUAAGGUUUUAAUUUAAUAUUCGUGCAACGCUAAAUGAAAAUAAAAUGCUUUCAGUGCAAAAUGACUAUCAUUUAACAAAAAUUAUGACAAUGAAGCGUUUGAUUUGAUCUUUUCUUUUUGUUCUUGCUACAAGUAUUGAUACAAAUGAUUCAUGAAUUCGAAGAAGGUUAUUAUUUUUAAUUUCUUUUUCUGUCAAAAAUGAGACUUUUCUCUUCAUUCCCAUCUUAUAUAUUUUUAUUUUUAUAUUUAUUUCAAAAGAAAUAACACAUUUUAUUUCUUUCUGUUUUUAAUUGUUUUUAAUUCAAUAAUGUCUUAAACAUUCUUAUAAGGAAAUAAUUUCCUAUUUUCUAGAAUAAAAAUCAUAAUUUAUUGUAAUUGAUUCAACAUAUGUUGCAAUUAACUUUCAACAUUGCACUUUAAUUUUUUACCUUUAUACAAUUAUAAAAGAAUUAUGAUUUUCAAAUUUAUUAAAAUAAGUUAAUUUACUUUUCAUUUAUACAAGUUCUCAAACUCAAAAUACUAUACCUAACAAAUAGUCAUUUAUUUUGAACUUUAAAAAGUAAUUCAAUUUCUCUUAUUUAAAAAUUUAAUCAAUGGCUUAACUCGAAAUAAAUGAUUUAUGCAUAUAGUUUAGUAAUUUUUAAUAACAAGUAAUAUAAAUGAAAUAUAAACAUUGGUUAUAUGCUUAAGAGAAGAUAUUGAGAUAAUUUCGUAAUAUUUCUAAAAUUUAAUAAGAAAGUUUUCUUGGUGAUUUGAGCACCAGCUCAUUCUUUUUUUAUUUUAUUUAUGAAUUAUCUAUGUGUUAUUUUUUUAAAUAUUUUCCAACUCUGACUUUAAACAGUGAAUAUUCUAAUCUUACAUAUCUCAUCACAACAAGUUUUUUUUGGAGUUUGAUUUUAUGAGUACGGCACUCACGUACAAUGUGUAAUUCUUACAAAAUAAAAAUUAUCUUCGUCACUUUCACACCUUUUCUUUUCUUUUUUUUUUUUGCAAAUUUUCUUUGUAAUUAUAACACGUUUAUUUCUCUUAUAAUAACUUUUAUACCUCUCCGUUAAUAUUUGCACCAUGAACUAGUUUAAUGAUGUGCAAGUAUAAAUUUUAUUUAUUCGCUAAAAGGAUUAUUCCUUUUUGUUAUUAAAAGAAACAAAUGGAGAGUUACACAUUGAAACUAUAUUUGAUGAAAUUAAAUAGGAAUCUUAUUACAGCUAUCACUUAAAACAAGUGUUUUGUAAAUUCUAAAUUUCUGAUUGUUGAAAAACUUAAUCGAAAAAUCUAUUUGCUUUUUUAAAAAUAAAUAUGAGAUUCCCUUGAAAGUUGAGAGUGAUUUAACAAUGUACGAAAAGUUUCCUUUGAAAAAUUGAAGACUUUAUAAAAACGGCAGUAAUUGGCACACUCGUGUAACAAUAUACAUAUUGUGUGUUAAUAUGUGGUGUUAGUAUGUAAGGCAAUAAACCUUUGGGUUUUAUUUCUCUUCUUUUAUCUGUUUAAUAUGUAUAAGUGUAAAAAAAGGAUUUAUGUUUCAGAAUGUGCAAAUAGGUAUUUGUUAAUGAAGAAAUAUUCUGUGUGCAUCACCGUCGAAAAGGAAGACGAAAAUGAUAGAAAUAAUGUCUUCUAUAUGUAAGGAAAGAAUAAAAUUCCUCUCUUAUAUUUGAAUAAGAAGAAAAAUAUUUACUUCUUUUUUUAAUUGCCAUAUUUUCAUGGAAUAAUCUGACUUUUUUUUUAUUAUUUUGAGCUUCUCGUAAGAGGGGGGAAAUUCAAAGAGAAGAGGAGAAUCGGACAACUUUGGAAUUAAUUUUUCAUUUGUGUCACAGCCAAGACUGGUGUCGCAAAAAAUCUGUUUUUUUUUGUGGUAUUUCUAUAUCAAAAUAGACAUAUCACUCGCGAUUUUCGGAGUCUUCUCUUUAAGUUUCAAAGGGACUAUAUUUUUUUUCACGGCCUGGAGAUUUAAAUACAAUUGAAAAAAUAGCCUUAAACAAUUGUUAAAUACUAUACAAUCUGACAAACUCGUCAAUUUCAAUUCUCCGUUUUCUUUUUUAAUACAUACAAUAACAACUCUCGAUUUUCUUGAAUGUUUUCCUAUUUUUGUUUAUUGAAUUCUUUACUUUCGUUACUAUAUAGUGAGAAUAUUCAUUGAAUCGAGAUAAGGUCAGAUAAUCUUUGCGCGAUAUAAUAUUCUAUAUUUUCUGUCUUUGCUUAUACUUUCCAACGCUACAGCACCUACGAUCAUGUUUUUUAAUUAAGUUAAAUUAAAUAAUUUCUAUUUGCAGAAAAUAGGUGAAUAUUUGGAAAUAUAAUUUUUUUGUAAUGAGGAAAUCG
Leptopilina heterotoma is the source of this 3266-nucleotide long non-coding RNA. RefSeq lists it as uncharacterized. The transcript has 3 exons. Lineage: Eukaryota; Metazoa; Arthropoda; Insecta; Hymenoptera; Figitidae. The record is from RefSeq and is a predicted model, not a curated record.